RNAcentral lists this ribosomal RNA (403 nucleotides) under uncultured bacterium. Its description in RNAcentral is "partial 16S ribosomal RNA". It matches the Rfam family "Bacterial small subunit ribosomal RNA", at positions 28 to 526 of the family's 1533-position model. The record is from RNAcentral.
GACGAACGCUGGCGGCGUGCCUAAUACAUGCAAGUCGAACGCAGUGGGGACGGGUGAGUAAAACGUGGGUAACCUCCCAUCAAAGGGGAGAACACGUGGAAAAAGGUGCUAAACCGAUAUUGAAGGAGGGACCCGCGUUGCAUUAGAUAUGUGGGGAGGUAACGGCUCACCAGGGCCACGAUGAAUAGCCGACCUGAGAGGGGGAGCGGCAACACUGGGACUGAGCCACGGCCCCGACUCCUACGGGAGGCAGCAGUAGGGAAUAUUCGGCAAUGGACGAAAGUCUGACCGAGCCACGCCGCGUGAGUGAAGAAGGUUUUCGGAUCGUAAAACUCUGUUGUUAGAGAAGCGGUAUCUAACCAGAAAGCCACGGCUAACUACGUGCCAGCAGCCGCGGUAAUAC